Molecule: non-coding RNA, 173 nt
Organism: Camellia sinensis
Lineage: Eukaryota; Viridiplantae; Streptophyta; Magnoliopsida; Ericales; Theaceae
Source: RefSeq, a predicted model, not a curated record
GGCAAAAGCAAACCCUCUUUCACACCAUGAGUCGUAAAGGUUAUGCACGAUUAGAGGAUGAAAUGAGAAGAGAAAGUUGAGCACCAUCAUCCAUAUCAAGAGUUGAUGUUUGGAUUAAAGGGCAUAUGAGGAAGGAAGGAAAAUCCAUGAAUGAAGUGCUUGAUGCAACUGUG